This 1313-nucleotide long non-coding RNA is filed under the name Daphnia magna. RNAcentral's name for it is "uncharacterized LOC116917977, transcript variant X2". Lineage: Eukaryota; Metazoa; Arthropoda; Branchiopoda; Diplostraca; Daphniidae. The record is from RNAcentral.
AUAAGAGUAGUCUUAUACUAUGCGUAUACGGUGUCAGCCAGUACCAAAAACGUCUAAUCGGCCGAGUCAUACGGAACGCCAAAUUACCCCCUCUAAAAUUUCAGCACCGAAAAAUUGAACGAAAAAUUUUCGUGACAAUCAGCAAAAAGCUGAUCCUACGAGCUACGACAGUUUUACCUACCAAUGUUUAGCGUUUCGUGCUGCAACUAGUAGUUGAUAUUCCAGGAUGUUAUGCCUAAAAUUGGAAUUCAGCUAUCAGAGAUUAGCAAAAUUGAAGCGGAAACUCUAGAUGGCGUUGAUGUACGUAUAUGAUGAAGAUUAUGAGUGACAAGUUAAUUGGGUGUUUGUUACGUUAUCCUGUUUUGUGUUUCAAAGGAUUUUUCGUCAAAAAAUUUACGCUAUGCCAGCUGCGAACCAGUAGCCUGCAUUCAUGCUAUCAAUGUACCACAAGAGAUCCUGACACUUUAAGAAGGCCACUAUUGCUUACAUGAAGAUCACCAUCCAGUUCAAUCAACGACAGAGUCUUCAUCUACUUUGUGUUGCUAACCAUCAGCCCUCAACAUCCCAGGUAUCCAGAUUUCCAAGUUUCUCUGAUUAGCCAACCAUCACCCAUACCCUUCAGCUCUUCAGUGUGGCUUCUCUUCCUCUCUUCCUAGUCUGCUGAAUACCAACAUUGAAUAAGGUUCCUCAUCAUUGCCUUUCCAUGCCAGCUCACAUGGAUGGGCUUUAACUAAGAAAAACUUCUGUGAUAGGACUGCAAAUAUUCAUCUUCCUUCGGUACAACACUGCCGUUUUGACAAUUUCUGUAGUUUCGCCCCCAGUGAACCACACGCAACUACAUUUUCUUCAUCUUCCUGUCGUUGUUGUCUGCGACUUCACCUCAUCGCUGUCUUCGUUGACGUCUUCGCCUUCAUCUCCGUCUCGUCGUCUUGACCGUCUUCGCCUUCAUCUCCGUCUCGCCGUCUUCGCCUUCAUCUCCGUCUCGUCGUCUUCGCCGUCUUCGCCUUCAUCUCCGUCUCGUCGUCUUCGCCGUCUUCGCCUUCAUCUCCGUCUCGUCGUCUUCGCCGUCUUCGCCGUCUUCGCCGUCUUCGCCUUUGUUUCAUCGCCGUCUUUUUCUACGCCAACACUUUGUCGCCGGCUUCUCCUUCGCACUUCACGUAGGGAAUUCACCGUGGAUCGUCGUCCUGGUAUUGUUUUAUUUUGCAUUGUUGUGUUUAAGUUAACCCGUUGGCUGCCACCCCGUUUGCGUCCCAUUUUUUUUGUAGCUUGUAGGGACCGGCCGCAAUGGCCUUCGCCGCAAGGCGCCUUAGGCA